RNAcentral lists this ribosomal RNA (550 nucleotides) under uncultured bacterium. Its description in RNAcentral is "bacterial SSU rRNA". It matches the Rfam family "Bacterial small subunit ribosomal RNA", at positions 355 to 896 of the family's 1533-position model. The record is from RNAcentral.
UAGGGAAUCUUCCGCAAUGGGCGAAAGCCUGACGAAGCAACGCCGCGUGAGUGAUGAAGGUCUUCGGAUCGUAAAACUCUGUUAUUAGGGAAGAACAAAUGUGUAAGUAACUAUGCACGUCUUGACGGUACCUAAUCAGAAAGCCACGGCUAACUACGUGCCAGCAGCCGCGGUAAUACGUAGGUGGCAAGCGUUAUCCGGAAUUAUUGGGCGUAAAGCGCGCGUAGGCGGUUUUUUAAGUCUGAUGUGAAAGCCCACGGCUCAACCGUGGAGGGUCAUUGGAAACUGGAAAACUUGAGUGCAGAAGAGGAAAGUGGAAUUCCAUGUGUAGCGGUGAAAUGCGCAGAGAUAUGGAGGAACACCAGUGGCGAAGGCGACUUUCUGGUCUGUAACUGACGCUGAUGUGCGAAAGCGUGGGGAUCAAACAGGAUUAGAUACCCUGGUAGUCCACGCCGUAAACGAUGAGUGCUAAGUGUUAGGGGGUUUCCGCCCCUUAGUGCUGCAGCUAACGCAUUAAGCACUCCGCCUGGGGAGUACGACCGCAAGGUUG